This 406-nucleotide unclassified non-coding RNA is filed under the name Hevea brasiliensis (rubber tree). Lineage: Eukaryota; Viridiplantae; Streptophyta; Magnoliopsida; Malpighiales; Euphorbiaceae. The record is from RNAcentral.
GAGCUUUAAUCCUCCAUUCCUUCAAAAUCAUCUUACCAUCCAAUUCACCCUAUAAAUUCAUUUUUUUCAAAAACCCUACUAACCAUUUCUCCCUACAUUUCUUUUGAGGUUCUCCACUCCUUGCCACCACCUACUUCCCCAUCCAUAUCUCUUCUUUCUUUCAUAGACCCUAUUUUUUCCUCUACACGCCUCCAUGGCUAUUUUCUUCCCUGCCCUAUUUUAUUCUCUGAUCUUCCAUUCAGUGCCGUAGCACCACAAAGCCCUCCAAAACGUCUGGAUUCACCUGUUUGCCCCGAAGCAUUGAAUAGACCUAUUAUACUCUAUGGGGUUCGGAGCAGGUCAUGUUUCAAAGAACAGCAGUGACGCAACAUAGCAGCACCACGGCUUCUCCUUUUCUUUUUCCUUU